GAUGAACGCUGGCGGCGUGCCUAAUACAUGCAAGUCGAGCGAACAGACGAGGAGCUUGCUCCUCUGACGUUAGCGGCGGACGGGUGAGUAACACGUGGAUAACCUACCUAUAAGACUGGGAUAACUUCGGGAAACCGGAGCUAAUACCGGAUAAUAUAUUGAACCGCAUGGUUCAAUAGUGAAAGACGGUUUUGCUGUCACUUAUAGAUGGAUCCGCGCCGCAUUAGCUAGUUGGUAAGGUAACGGCUUACCAAGGCAACGAUGCGUAGCCGACCUGAGAGGCUGAUCGGCCACCCUGGAACUGAGACACGGUCCAGACUCCUACGGGAGGGCGCAGUAGGGAAUCUUACGCAGUGGGCGAAAGCCUGACGCAGCAACGCCGCGUGAGUGAUGAAGGUCUUCGGAUCGUAAAACUCUGUUAUUAGGGAAGAACAAAUGUGUAAGGAACUAUGGACGUCUUGACGGUAACUAAUCAGAAAGCAACGGCUAACUACGUG
This 497-nucleotide ribosomal RNA is filed under the name uncultured bacterium. Its description in RNAcentral is "partial 16S ribosomal RNA". It matches the Rfam family "Bacterial small subunit ribosomal RNA", at positions 28 to 507 of the family's 1533-position model. The record is from RNAcentral.